This is a non-coding RNA of Misgurnus anguillicaudatus (oriental weatherfish), 799 nucleotides long. NCBI's taxonomy places the organism in Eukaryota, Metazoa, Chordata, Actinopteri, Cypriniformes, Cobitidae. The record is from RefSeq and is a predicted model, not a curated record.
CCCAUAUAAUACCAGAACUCUUUUCAGGAAACACUUACUGUAGAUUAGUACAGUAAAUGCUUUUUUCACUCAUGUGUACGUCAGUACUAAAUGAUUUUAAAUUAUAAACCGUGUCAGUAAUGGUACGAGUAAAUAGAUCAAUUUAGCAUCAAGGAUCUGGUAUGUAAAUAAUUUACUCUACCCAUAAUGCACUUUGGUUCUUACAGUUUUUUCAUAUGUGCCAAAAAUAUCACACAGAGCUAAUGGAGGACGUCACAGUGAAAACAGAUUAUCUUAGGACUGUUUUAAACCGAUUUUUACUGCUCCCUUCAUGUCAUCAAGAUUAAUAUGGGCUUUUUAAUGUAUUUAUCAGUGUUGACGUCAUACUCAUGCCUGCAAUGAUGUGAAUCAGAAUAAUGCUGGAGAUAUUUUCGGAUACGAUAUAAAAAACAUAAACUCUUGUGUCAGUCUGUGUAAUGGUUAGUUGAUGUGAGAAUGAAAUAAGUUUGGCAGGAUAGACUAAGGCUUGUCUUGUGUUUAUGACAGGAACACAAUGUCCGUUGUAUCUCCAGAGACGCCGCCCAGCGAUGACAGCACAAGAAUGUUGUUGGUCUCCCGCAACUUCAGCUUAAAUCCCAGAGGAGCAUGUUUAAAAACAACUGAUCAAGACAACUGAUCAAACUGUACCUUUAUUGCAUGCAGUGUAAAUCUUUAUCAACUAUAACAUGAAAUUGACAUACACAUGAUAUUGUUUUAAAAACAAACCACAAAAGUACAUUAUUGCAAGAUAUUUCUAAGCAAAUAAAACAAUGAACCAUCA